UGUACUAUUGAUAAGACCAAUCUUGGAGAGCCCAAAGUCUGUCAACUGUAACAAAAAGGAGAAGAGGUUUCUAACAGGUAACAAGCAAAAACAAUGCUGCUUGAAAAGAUGAGACAGUAACAGACAGUAACAGACAAGCAAAAACCCAAACAGUAACAGACGAGACAGCCAUCGGGAUAAAUGCUGUCAUGGAUGCCGCCGUCGUCGCCGCCAUGGAAAAGCUACUCCACCAGCUUCAAAAGACGCCGACGAUCACAAUGGGCCCACUCUUGGAGUCAACCCGCGCAGCCUAGUGGAGGAAACCAGCCGCAUGCGCCUCUACUGUCCGCCCAUGUUCUGCCGCUGCCAAGUGCGCAUCCCCACGUGCAGUCAUCGUUCAGCCGGCUUACUCCCACUUGUUUUCCCGAGUCCAGCCGUAGUACCCUUUUGGUCAGCUGCACAUCCUGGCGCCACUGCUGACCUCGGUUUACGGACUGUCAUUGUUUUUCACACGCCGCUGCCCUCUGAUUCUCUACAGCAGUUGCACAUCCGUGGUACCGGGAUCAAUCAACUCCAUAAGAAAUCAGGGUUUGAAGUUCGAGAAUCUUCAGCACAAUCCAAACCAACCUGCUUGCCGAUGUAUUUCAAGUACCCGAUAAACUUCGCUCCCUACUUUGUCCUCAAAUUAUAUAACUAGCUCUCUAGCACCAUCUAUCGGUGUUUUUCCAUGGGAGAAGCUGAAUGGUCAGAACUACUUUUGAUGGUCUCAAUCGGCAAAAAUGUUUCUUGAGGGAUCACCAUUUCGGUUUGUUGACAAGGGAGACUCAUCGGCCCCUGCUUGGUGAUGCUCAAGAACAUCUCUAGAGAGGGGAGGAUUCUCUUAUUCGGUUCUUGUUGAUUAAUAGUAUGGAACUAUAGAUUGGCAAGCCUUGAUAUAUGCAACAAUUGUGAAGGAUCUAUGGGACACUACUCAGAAACUCUACUCGAAGCAUCAGACUAGCUCUAAUGGAAGCAAGGAACUUUGCAUGUAACCUCCUACUUCAAUAAACUCUCUCUACUCUUGCAAGAAAUGGACCUAUGCAGAAAGACAAUAUGGGAUACUAGGAAUGAUAGCGUACAAUGUGCAAAGGUACCAAGUCCUACACAAAAGACCCCAUUUGUAACUAUGUUUCCUAUCUCCACAGUUCAGAGCCUUCACAACCAGCCUUGACUCCACCAUGAUACCUAAAACUAUCCACAUUGCUUUAUAGUGUCCUGAGUGGAAAACUGUUGUUAUGGAAGAGAUGAGAACUCUUGAAAAGAAUAAGACUUUGGAGGUUCGUACUCUCCGUAAGGAACAUAAAACUGUAGGAUGUAAAUGAGUGUUCAUACUCAAAUACAAGGCAGAUGGAACUCUUGACAGACACAAGACUAGACUUGGAAGAGGAAGAUCGUCGUGUUGAUUGUUUAUGUUGAUGACAAUGUUUUAUCUGGAGAUGACAUCACUGAAAUCAUCGAACUGAAAAGAAGAUGGGUGAUAAGUUUGAAAUUAAAGACUUGGGGAAUUUGAAGUAUUUCCUUGGGAUGGAGGUAGCUAGAUCAAAAAAAGGUAUCUUCCUAUCUCAAAGGAAGUAUAUCCUUAAUUUGUUGACUGAAACAGGUAUGCUAAGAUGUCGUCAUGCUAAUACUCUUAUUGAAUUCAACUGUAAACUGAGAAAUUUAGGUGAUAAAGUACCAGUUGAGAAAGAAAAAUAUCAGUGCCUUGUGGGAAAGUUGAUUUACUUGUCACAUACUAGACCAGAUAUCUCCUAUGCUGUGAGUAACGUUAGCCAGUUAUGCAGACUUCCUAUGAGAAACACAUGGAGGCAGUUCACAGAAUCCUGAGGUACUUAAAAACAACUCCUGGAAAAGGGUUGAUGUUUAGGAAGACCGACAAAAGAGUAUUGAGGCCUAUACUAAUUCUGACUUGGCAGAGUCCAUUGUUGACAGAAAAUCCACCUCCGGCAACUGUACCUUUGUAUGAGCAAUCUUGUAACCUGGAGUAAGAAGCAAGUGUUGUGGCCAAAAGCAGUGCUGAAGCUGAGUAUAGGCCCUGAGUUUAGGGAUACGAAAGGAAAUUUGGCCUCAGAAAGAUAUCUUGACCUUUAUCAGGAUUGCGAGGUGUCGAUGAAAUUAUUCUUUGAUAAUAAGGCAGCUAUUAGCAUCGCCAACAAUCUAGUUCAACAUAAUAGAACUAAACAUGUGGAGAUUGAUCGACACUUCAUUAAAGAAAGAUUGGACAAUGGUAGCAUAUGCAUUCCUUACAUCCCCUUGAGCCAACAUGUUGCUAAUGUUCUCACCAAGGGGCUUUUUAAACAAAGCUAAACAAAACUUUGACUCUUCUAUUAGCAAGUUGGGUCUCAUUGAUAUCUACAUCCCAACUUGAGGGGGAGUGUUGGAAUUAGUGUGCUUGGUCCAAGGAAGGAUUUACCCUAAUUUACUUUUCUUUUUUAUCAUAAGCUUGUUGUUUAUUUAUUUUUCCUUUUGUAUAUUUUGUUAAUAUGAGAAAUUAACAAGAAAGUCA
Molecule: long non-coding RNA, 2521 nt
Organism: Cucumis melo (muskmelon)
Lineage: Eukaryota; Viridiplantae; Streptophyta; Magnoliopsida; Cucurbitales; Cucurbitaceae
Exons: 2
Source: RefSeq, a predicted model, not a curated record